Molecule: non-coding RNA, 45 nt
Organism: Schistosoma curassoni
Lineage: Eukaryota; Metazoa; Platyhelminthes; Trematoda; Strigeidida; Schistosomatidae
Source: Rfam
AUCCGGCUGACGAGUCCCAAAUAGGACGAAACGCGCGUUCUGGAU